RNAcentral lists this transfer RNA (93 nucleotides) under Myxococcales bacterium. Its description in RNAcentral is "tRNA-OTHER". Lineage: Bacteria; Pseudomonadati; Myxococcota; Myxococcia; Myxococcales. The record is from RNAcentral. RNAcentral also lists the same sequence under 1 other name.
GGGGGUGUGAGGUUCGACUCCUCCGCUCUCCGCCGUCUUCGUCCAUCACGUCGAUCUCACACGCGAUUGCAGGUUCGAAUCCUGUCGUCCCCG